GACGGAAGGUGCAAGCGUUGCUCGGAAUCACUGGGCGUAAAGGGUGCGUAGGCGGCUUGGUAAGUUGGGUGUGAAAGCCCCGGGCUCAGCCCGGGAAGGGCACUCGAAACUGCCGAGCUGGAGUGCCGGAGGGGAGAGUGGAAUUCCUGGUGUAGCGGUGAAAUGCGUAGAUAUCAGGAGGAAUACCGGUGGCGAAAGCGACUCUCUGGA
RNAcentral lists this ribosomal RNA (210 nucleotides) under uncultured bacterium. RNAcentral's name for it is "partial 16S ribosomal RNA". It matches the Rfam family "Bacterial small subunit ribosomal RNA", at positions 524 to 733 of the family's 1533-position model. The record is from RNAcentral.